AGUACCGAGACCAUGACGUACCAAGAGACGUCUAUUGUCUGUAUUCCUUAGCAUCGCAUCAGUAACUGCAAGCUUCUCUGCCAAGGAGGAAUCUGACCAUUGUAACGAGCCAUUACGCUAAUUAGCAGCUGUUCAUCAGUCUACAAGCACCAACCACGUGACCCAGACAAUACGCAGGUUCAAGACACAAGUCAUUUUGGAAAUGCCUGAAGGAACAACCUCCGGCCCAAUCCUAAUCAUGGUCCUAGGCCCAAUCACCCUCCACUGCCACUGUCGAUACGUAUUUCCAUCCCAGGAUAUGUAUAACCUCCACCAUCGCCUGGGCCUGAAAAUUAUCUGGUGGCACCACCCUGCUGAAGUACUCGUAAC
Long non-coding RNA from Cephus cinctus (wheat stem sawfly), 369 nucleotides. RefSeq lists it as uncharacterized. The record is from RefSeq and is a predicted model, not a curated record. NCBI's taxonomy places the organism in Eukaryota, Metazoa, Arthropoda, Insecta, Hymenoptera, Cephidae. The transcript is spliced from 3 exons.